This 497-nucleotide ribosomal RNA is filed under the name uncultured bacterium. Its description in RNAcentral is "partial 16S ribosomal RNA". It matches the Rfam family "Bacterial small subunit ribosomal RNA", at positions 28 to 507 of the family's 1533-position model. The record is from RNAcentral.
GAUGAACGCUGGCGGCGUGCCUAAUACAUGCAAGUCGAGCGAACAGACGAGGAGCUUGCUCCUUUGACGUUAGCGGCGGACGGGUGAUUAACACGUAGUUAACCUACCUAUAAAACUGGGAUAACUUCGGGAAACCGGAGCUAAUACCGGAUAAUAUUUCGAACCGCAUGGUUCAAUAGUGAAAGUUGGCUUUGCUAUCACUUAUACAGGAACCUGCGCCGUAUUAGCUAGUUGGUAAGGUAACGGCUUACCAAGGCAACGAUACGUAGCCGACCUGAGAGGGUGAUCGGCCACACUGGAACUGAGACACGGUCCAGACUCCUACGGGAGGCAGCAGUAGGGAAUCUUCCGCAAUGGGCGAAAGCCUGACGGAGCAACGCCGCGUGAGUGAUGAAGGUCUUCGGAUCGUAAAACUCUGUUAUUAGGGAAGAACAAACGUGUAAGUAACUGUGCACGUCUUGACGGUACCUAAUCAGAAAGCCACGGCUAACUACGUG